This 226-nucleotide long non-coding RNA is filed under the name Sorghum bicolor (sorghum). Its description in RNAcentral is "long non-coding RNA (SBIC_LNC010373)". The record is from RNAcentral. Lineage: Eukaryota; Viridiplantae; Streptophyta; Magnoliopsida; Poales; Poaceae.
CUCAUCUCUGCUAUUCUUUCUUCUUAUCUAAUCCUUGAUCUCUGGUCUAUUAUGAAUUCAAACAUGUCUAUCUAUGAAUUUCAUAGACCUAUGGGCACACAUCUCGAACCACCAAAAUCUUCAAAGCCUAUCAUAGCACCUAGUUUUGAGAUAGACCCCGAAUACAUAGAAUUUAUUCAAAAACAACCUUUCUCAGGAAAAGGUGAGGAAAACCCAUACACACACC